UACGAAGGGUGCAAACGUUGCUCGGAAUUAUUGGGCGUAAAGCGCACGUAGGCGGCUAUCUAAGUCGGAUGUGAAAUCCCUCGGCUUAACCAAGGAAGUGCACCCGAAACUGGAUAGCUUGAGUACAGAAGAGGAUCGCGGAAUUCCCGGUGUAGAGGUGAAAUUCGUAGAUAUCGGGAGGAACACCGGUGGCGAAGGCGACUACCUGGCCUGUUCUUGACGCUGAGGCGCGAAAGCUAGGGGAGCAAACGGG
RNAcentral lists this ribosomal RNA (253 nucleotides) under uncultured bacterium. RNAcentral's name for it is "partial 16S ribosomal RNA". It matches the Rfam family "Bacterial small subunit ribosomal RNA", at positions 524 to 776 of the family's 1533-position model. The record is from RNAcentral.